RNAcentral lists this ribosomal RNA (439 nucleotides) under uncultured bacterium. Its description in RNAcentral is "partial 16S ribosomal RNA". It matches the Rfam family "Bacterial small subunit ribosomal RNA", at positions 339 to 795 of the family's 1533-position model. The record is from RNAcentral.
CUACGGGGCGCAGCAGUGGGGGAUAUUGCACAAUGGAGGAAACUCUGAUGCAGCAACGCCGCGUGAAGGAAGACGGUUUUCGGAUUGUAAACUUCUAUCAGCUGGGAGGAAAAUGACGGUACCAGACUAAGAAGCCCCGGCUAACUACGUGCCAGCAGCCGCGGUAAUACGUAGGGGGCAAGCGUUAUCCGGAUUUACUGGGUGUAAAGGGUACGUAGGCGGUUUGUUAAGUCAGAUGUGAAAGCCCGAGGCUCAACCUCGGGACUGCAUUUGAAACUGACAAACUAGAGUACAGGAGAGGAAAGUGGAAUUCCUAGUGUAGCGGUGAAAUGCGUAGAUAUUAGGAAGAACACCAGUGGCGAAGGCGGCUUUCUGGACUGUAACUGACGCUGAGGUACGAAAGCGUGGGGAGCGAACAGGAUUAGAUACCCCCGUAGUC